UACGGGGGGGGCAAGCGUUGUUCGGAAUUACUGGGCGUAAAGGGCGCGUAGGCGGUUGGGUAAGUCAGCUGUGAAAACCACGGGUUUAACUCGUGGCCUGCAGUUGAGACUGUCUGGCUUGAGUGUGGGAGAGGAGAGUGGAAUUCCUGGUGUAGCGGUGAAAUGCGUAGAUAUCAGGAGGAACACCGGUGGCGAAGGCGGCUCUCUGGACCACAACUGACGCUGAGGCGCGAAAGCUAGGGGAGCAAACAGG
RNAcentral lists this ribosomal RNA (253 nucleotides) under uncultured bacterium. RNAcentral's name for it is "partial 16S ribosomal RNA". It matches the Rfam family "Bacterial small subunit ribosomal RNA", at positions 524 to 776 of the family's 1533-position model. The record is from RNAcentral.